UUUCCGUAGGUGAACCUGCGGAAGGAUCAUUACCACAUAUCAUCGGGGGAGAACUUCGGUUCUCCUGUCUGAACCCUUGUCUUUUGCGUACUAUUUGUUUCCUUGGUGGGCUUGCCUGCCGAUAGGACAACCAUUAAACCUUUUGUAAUUGCAAUCAGCGUCAGAAAAAACAUAAUAAUUACAACUUUCAACAACGGAUCUCUUGGUUCUG
This 211-nucleotide unclassified non-coding RNA is filed under the name soil metagenome. Its description in RNAcentral is "partial contains small subunit ribosomal RNA, internal transcribed spacer 1, and 5.8S ribosomal RNA". The record is from RNAcentral.